UCAUCGAUUAUAAAAUUUGUAGCU
Molecule: microRNA, 24 nt
Filed under: Amborella trichopoda
Lineage: Eukaryota; Viridiplantae; Streptophyta; Magnoliopsida; Amborellales; Amborellaceae
Description: atr-miR8616
Source: miRBase by way of RNAcentral